RNAcentral lists this ribosomal RNA (120 nucleotides) under uncultured bacterium. RNAcentral describes it as "partial 16S ribosomal RNA". It matches the Rfam family "Bacterial small subunit ribosomal RNA", at positions 796 to 918 of the family's 1533-position model. The record is from RNAcentral.
CACACAGUAAACGAUGAAUACUCGCUGUUUGCGAUAUACUGCAAGCGGCCAAGCGAAAGCGUUAAGUAUUCCACCUGGGGAGUACGCCGGCAACGGUGAAACUCAAAGGAAUUGACGGGG